RNAcentral lists this ribosomal RNA (248 nucleotides) under uncultured bacterium. RNAcentral's name for it is "partial 16S ribosomal RNA". It matches the Rfam family "Bacterial small subunit ribosomal RNA", at positions 57 to 305 of the family's 1533-position model. The record is from RNAcentral.
GCGAGUCGAACGAUGACGAAACAGCUUGCUGUUUCUGAUUAGUGGCGGACGGGUGAGUAAUGUAUAGGGAUCUGCCUGACAGUGGGGGACAACAGCCGGAAACGGCUGCUAAUACCGCAUACGCUCUACGGAGGAAAGUGGGGGACCUUCGGGCCUCACGCUAACAGAUGAACCUAUAUCAGAUUAGCUAGAUGGUGGGGUAAAGGCCUACCAUGGCGACGAUCUGUAGCUGGUUUGAGAGAAUGAUC